Molecule: ribosomal RNA, 795 nt
Filed under: Helix pelagonesica
Lineage: Eukaryota; Metazoa; Mollusca; Gastropoda; Stylommatophora; Helicidae
Description: partial 16S ribosomal RNA
Source: RNAcentral
AUUAAUUAAAAUAAUAACGUUUAUAUUUCACGAAAGAAAGUGAGCUAAAUAUGUAUUUAUUAUAUACGUGAUAUAGUAUCUAUGAAAUAUUUGUUUAGGGGUGAUAGGCUUACCAAACUUUUUGAUAACUUGUUUCAUACUAAAAGUAUUAAGUACAUAAACAUGCUUAAAAAGUCAAGCUUUUAAGCAUUUAUUAAAAAUAGUUGAAAUAUUUAACAUAGUAUAAAAGCUUGUUAUAAAAAAAUUAAAUAUUAAAUAUAUUUUUUUGUAGUUUAAUAGUAUGAUAAUAUUCUAUCACUUAAAUAUUUAAUACUGUUAUUAUUAGUAGUAGAUAAAAUAUGCUUAAGGAACUCGGCAAAUAUAACUGCUCAACUGUUUAUCAAAAACAUAGCUAUAUGAUUUAAUAUAUAGUUAUUUCUGCUCCAUGAGCAUUAAAUAGCCGCAGUACCCUGACUGUGCAAAGGUAGCAUAAUCAGUUGGCUUUUAAUUGAAGUCUGGUAUGAAGGAAAAUAUGGGUGGUAACUGUCUCAGCAUACUUAUUUAAAUUUAUUAAGCAAGUGCAAAUACUUGCUCAUAUACAAAAGACGAGAAGACCCUAGAAACUUGGUGGAGGUUUUGUUGGGGCGACAAGUUUACAUUUAACUAAUUUUUUAAUACAUGACGUAUUACUGAUAGUUUAAGUUACUCUAGGGAUAACAGCAUAAUUUUAACAGUUUGUGACCUCGAUGUUGGACUAGGUUUUUUAUUCUUUAGACAGGAAUAAAAUAAGCUCUGUUCGAGCAAAUAUACCUACAU